Molecule: ribosomal RNA, 456 nt
Filed under: Priestia megaterium
Lineage: Bacteria; Bacillati; Bacillota; Bacilli; Caryophanales; Bacillaceae
Description: Bacillus megaterium partial 16S ribosomal RNA
Rfam family: Bacterial small subunit ribosomal RNA
Source: RNAcentral
GAGGGUCAUUGGAAACUGGGGAACUUGACCGUAAAAGAAAAAAGCGGAAUUCCACGUGGAGCGGUGAAAUGCGUAGAGAUGUGGAGGAACACCAGUGGCGAAGGCCUCUUUUUGGUCUGUAACUGACGCUGAGGCGCGAAAGCGUGGGGAGCAAACAUGAUUAGAUACCCUGGUAGUCCACGCCGUAAACGAUGAGUGCUAAGUGUUAGAGGGCUUCCGCCCUUUAGUGCUGCAGCUAACACAUUAAGCACUCCGCCUGGGGAGUGCGGUCGCAAGACUGAAACUCAAAGGAGUUGACGGGGGCCCGCACAAGCGGUGGAGCAUGUGGUUUUUUUUUAAUCAACGCGAAUAACCUUACCGGGUGGGGGGGGGGGGUGACAACUCUAGAGAUAGAGCGUGCCCCUUCGGGGGACAGAGUGACGGGUGUUGCAUGGUUGUCGUCAGCUCGUGUCGGGA